AAAGAAAGACGAUAAGACCCUAUUGAACUUAACUGUAGUUAAACUGGGSCAGUAAAUUAAUUAUUAUUUUAAUAAAAUAUACUAUAUAAAUAUCUAAUAAAAUUAAAUAAUUCAGUUACCAUAGGAUACAGCGUAAUAGUUUUCUAAAGAUCUUAUUUAAAAUAUAGAUUACGACCUCGAUGUUGAAUUAAUAACCUAAUUAAGGCAAAACUUAAAAAAGGAAGUCUGUUCGACUUUUAAAAAAUUACAUGAUUUGAGUUCAGACCGGUGUAAACCAGGUCGGUUUCUAUCUUCUAAAAAAUUUUUUACAGUACGAAAGGACCUAAAA
This 328-nucleotide ribosomal RNA is filed under the name Habronattus pugillus. Its description in RNAcentral is "partial 16S ribosomal RNA". The stretch from base 3 to 295 matches the Rfam family "Bacterial large subunit ribosomal RNA", at positions 2074 to 2646 of the family's 2925-position model. The record is from RNAcentral. Lineage: Eukaryota; Metazoa; Arthropoda; Arachnida; Araneae; Salticidae.